UGGACAACAGAGCGAGACUCAGUCUCAAAAAAACAAAACAAAAACAAAAACAAAAAAACCGAAGAAAGAAAUAUGAUUGGACCAGAAGGCCAAUAACCUGAGUGGGGAAACCCAGCAAGGCCUGUCCAUGUAGAUUCUUCUUGGCCUCUCUCUGCAGCAGUCCUUCCUUCUGAGGAUGGGGCAGGACUCUCUCUGGGAUGGAGGGGUCUUAGGACCUGCAAGCAAACAAGGGACGCACGUGACAUUUGGAUUGUGACUCGGAUUGGGGGACUUCCUUUGGGAGAUCAAUCCUCUGUCCUCCUGCUCUUUGCUCCGUGAGAGAGAUCCACCUAUGACCUUGGGUCCUCAGACCAACCAGCCCAAGGAACAUCUCACCAAUUUUAAAUCGGAUCUUGGCUUAGCGGCUGAAGACUGAUGCUGCUCAAUUGCCUCGGAAGCCUCCUGGAUCAUCACAGAUUCUUUGGGUAACUCUUACAGUGGAGGGUAAGUCCAUCCCCUUCUUAAUCAAUACGGAGGCUACCCACCCCACAUUGCCUUCUUUUCAAGGACCUGUUUCCCCUGCCUCCAUAACUGUUGUGGGUACUGACGGCCAGGCUUCAAAACCCCUUAAAACUCCCCCACUCUGAUGUCAACUUGGACAACAUUCUUUUAUGCACUCCUUUUUAGUUAUCCUCACCUGCCCAGCUCCCUUAUUAGGUCAAGACAUUUUAACUAAAUUAUCUGCUUCCCUGCCUAUUCCUAGGCUACAGCCAUACCUCAUUGCUGCCCUUUUCCCCAGUUGAAAGCCUCCUUCGCAUCCUCCCCUUGUAUCUCCCCACCUUAACCCACAAGUGUAGGACACCUCUACUCCGUCCUUGACCACCGAUCAUUCACCCCUUACCAUCCCAUUAAAACCUAAUCAUCCUUACCCUGCUCAACACAAAUAUCCCAUCCCACAGCAUGCUUUAAAAGGAUUAAAGCCUGUUAUCACUCACCUGUUACAGCAUGGCCUUUUAAAGCCUAUAAACUCUCCUUACAAUUCCCCCAUUUUACCUGUUCAAAAAUCGGACAGGUCUUACAAGUUAGUUCAGGAUCUUCACCUUAUCAGCCAAAUUGUCUUGCCUAUCCACCCCAUGCUGCCAAACCCAUAUACUCUCCUAUCCUCAAUACCUCCCUCCACAAGCCAUUAUUCUGUUCUGGAUCUCAAAACAUGCUUUCUUUACUAUUCCUGUGCACCCUUCAUCCCAGCCUCUCUUCACUUUCACUUGGACUGACCCUGACACCCAUCAGGCUCAGCAAACUACCUGGGCUGUACUGCCGCAAGGCUUCACGGACAGCCCCCAUUACUUCAGUCAUGCCCAAAUUUCUUCCUCAUCCGUUAUCUAUCUCGGCAUAAUUCUUCAUGAAAACAUACCUGCUCUCCCUGCUAAUUGUGUCUGACUAAUCUUCCAAACCCUAACCCCUUCUACAAAACAACAACUCCUUUCCUUCCUGGGCAUGGUUAAAUACUUUCACCUUUAAAUACCUGGUUUUGCCAUCCUAAUGAAACCAUUAUAUAAACUCACAAAAGAAGACCUAGCUGACCCCAUAGAUCCUAAAUCCUUUCCCCACUUCUCUUUCCAUUUCUUAAAAACAGCCCUAAAAUCUGCUCCCACACUAGCUUUCCCUCACUCAUCCCAACCCAUUUUCAUUAUACACAGCCAAAGUGCAGGGCUGUGCAAUCGGAAUUCUUACACAAGAGCCGGGACUGUGCCCUGUAGCCUUUCUGUCCAAACGACUUGACCUUACUGUUUUAGGCUA
Molecule: long non-coding RNA, 1779 nt
Organism: Macaca mulatta (Rhesus monkey)
Lineage: Eukaryota; Metazoa; Chordata; Mammalia; Primates; Cercopithecidae
Source: RefSeq, a predicted model, not a curated record